RNAcentral lists this ribosomal RNA (706 nucleotides) under uncultured bacterium. RNAcentral describes it as "bacterial SSU rRNA". It matches the Rfam family "Bacterial small subunit ribosomal RNA", at positions 1 to 678 of the family's 1533-position model. The record is from RNAcentral.
AUUAGAGUUUGAUCCUGGCUCAGGACGAACGCUGGCGGCGUGCCUAAUACAUGCAAGUCGAACGCAAUCUUUGACUAAUGAGUGCUUGCACUCAGCGGUCAAAGUGCGAGUGGCGAACGGGUGAGUAACACGUGGGCAAUCUGCCCAAAAGUGGGGGAUAACACUUGGAAACAGGUGCUAAUACCGCAUCAACCGGCUGACCGCAUGGUCGGCCGGGCAAAGACGGCGUCAGCUGUCGCUUUUGGAUGAGCCCGCGGCGUAUUAACUAGUUGGUAAGGUAACGGCUUACCAAGGUGAUGAUACGUAGCCGAACUGAGAGGUUGAUCGGCCACAUUGGGACUGAGACACGGCCCAAACUCCUACGGGAGGCAGCAGUAGGGAAUCUUCCACAAUGGACGCAAGUCUGAUGGAGCAACGCCGCGUGUAUGAAGAAGGUCUUCGGAUCGUAAAAUACUGUUGUCAGAGAAGAACACGUGAUAGAGUAACUGCUAUGGCGCUGACGGUAUCUGACCAGCAAGUCACGGCUAACUACGUGCCAGCAGCCGCGGUAAUACGUAGGUGGCAAGCGUUGUCCGGAUUUAUUGGGCGUAAAGGGAACGCAGGCGGUCUUUUAAGUCUGAUGUGAAAGCCUUCGGCUUAACCGGAGAAGUGCAUUAGAAACUGGAAGACUUGAGUGCAGAAGAGGAGAGUGGAACUCCAUGUGUAG